Molecule: long non-coding RNA, 1101 nt
Filed under: Sus scrofa (pig)
Lineage: Eukaryota; Metazoa; Chordata; Mammalia; Artiodactyla; Suidae
Description: lncRNA (ENSSSCG00070027931.1)
Source: RNAcentral
CGUACAUGGAAUGUGGCUUGUCUAGGGCAACUGUAUUUGUAAAUAAAUGGCUUCCUGUUUAUUACGUUCGCUUUCCUGAGAACUCAGCCUCUGAGCACUUAUUAGAGCAAGUAUUCAACUUCUGGUUUAAUUUCCACUGUGUGGGGUGGGGUGUUUUUUGUUUUGUUUUGUGGUAUUCACUAUAAAGAAACCGGGUUAAAAUGAAUCAGUUGGGUCGGGGGGUGGUUCCUGAUCCUGAAGCAUCCAGGCUGACCAGGAGAUAACAACCUUACAAGUCCUCACUUUGGCCUAAGUGCGAGGAAGGGGGCUGGAUCCUGGGACGCUGCUGGACUCCAAUCUGGGGAGUUUCACUUUUGCCCCCCGGAUCUUUCUACUGCUGACCGCAGCCUUCUCUAGCAGCUUCAGAGGGCAAGGCGGCUAUCCUCCUGGCGGGUGGCCUGGGCACCGACCUGCCGCCUGGCAUCCCCGCUAACCCUGCAGCCGCGCUCGCCCACCGCCCGCUCAGAGUCGCCGCGCAGGGCCAGGUUCCGCCGCUCCCGGGCGGGGACCGCAACGAGGCCGGGCACACGCAGCCAACCCCAGCGUCCGUGGGGCGCCCGAGUUCCCAACCCCGGGGAGGCGGCCGGGCCUGGCGCCCGAAACUCCAACCAGCGCCGGCCUCCGGCCGCCCUGCCCCCGCUCGCGUCUCCUCUGCCAGACUCGGCGCUCGGAACAAUGCAGCGCCCGGCGCCCCAGCGGGCCUCGCUGACCCCUAAGGCCCCCCGAUCCGGACCGCCGCCCCAUGCUGGACCUUCUUCCGAGCCGAGGAGAGAACAAGGCAGGUGCUAGGUGCUAUCCAACGUCGCCGUGUAGGACUUCUCGUGGUGGGAAGAACCUCAAGAGUGCAGUUUUGGUGAGCUAGUCAUCUUCACCCUCCUUUUAAAAGAAAAACAAAAACGGAACACCACCACAGUAUAAAGGAGAUCGCAUGAUCGCCCCCCCUUUCUUUUCCGGUUUUGUGAGAUACGUAUAAAAAACAGUCUGGGCAUUUAUAUGCUUUGUUUGUUUAUUUUGCCCCUCCUUCCACGGACUUCAAGCCUGGUCUCCUCGGUGCGUCCCUCG